RNAcentral lists this ribosomal RNA (500 nucleotides) under uncultured bacterium. Its description in RNAcentral is "partial 16S ribosomal RNA". It matches the Rfam family "Bacterial small subunit ribosomal RNA", at positions 30 to 523 of the family's 1533-position model. The record is from RNAcentral.
AUUGAACGCUGGCGGAAUGCUUUACACAUGCAAGUCGAACGGCAGCACGGACUUCGGUCUGGUGGCGAGUGGCGAACGGGUGAGUAAUACAUCGGAACGUGCCCAGUCGUGGGGGAUAACGUAGCGAAAGCUACGCUAAUACCGCAUACGAUCUAAGGAUGAAAGCGGGGGAUCGCAAGACCUCGCGCGAUGGGAGCGGCCGAUGGCAGAUUAGGUAGUUGGUAGGGUAAAGGCCUACCAAGCCGACGAUCUGUAGCUGGUCUGAGAGGAUGAUCAGCCACACUGGGACUGAGACACGGCCCAGACUCCUACGGGAGGCAGCAGUGGGGAAUUUUGGACAAUGGGCGCAAGCCUGAUCCAGCCAUUCCGCGUGCAGGAUGAGGGCCUUCGGGUUGUAAACUGCUUUUGUACAGAACGAAAAGGCUCUGGUUAAUACCCGGGGCUCAUGACGGUACUGUAAGAAUAAGCACCGGCUAACUACGUGCCAGCAGCCGCCGUAA